CCUAACACAUGCAAGUCGAGCGGUCCAGCACUCAAGCUUGCUUGGGUGCUGGGGAGCGGCGAACGGGUGAGUAACGCGUGGGUGACCUGCCCGGGAGACUGGGAUAACAGUUCGAAAGGGCUGCUAAUACCGGAUGAUCCCCAGCACUCAACCGAAGGAAUUAGGCUUGGUUUAGAGGAAGCUUUCUUGUAGGUUCAAUGAGGUUUUUCUAUGGUACAGCCUGGUUUUUGGGUUGAGUGCUGGGGCAAAGCGUUUAGCGCUCCUGGAUGGGCCCGCGUCCCAUUAGCUAGUUGGUGGGGUAAUGGCCUACCAAGGCUGCGAUGGGUAGCCGGUCUGAGAGGAUGGUCGGCCACACUGGGACUGAGACACGGCCCAGACUCCUACGGGAGGCAGCAGUGGGGAAUUUUGCGCAAUGGGGGCAACCCUGACGCAGCGACGCCGCGUGGGUGAUGAAGGCCUUCGGGUUGUAAAGCCCUGUUGGGGGGGAAGAUAAUGACGGUACCCCCUGAGGAAGCCCCGGCUAACUACGUG
Molecule: ribosomal RNA, 531 nt
Filed under: uncultured bacterium
Lineage: Bacteria
Description: bacterial SSU rRNA
Rfam family: Bacterial small subunit ribosomal RNA
Source: RNAcentral